GAUGUAGCUCAAUUGGUAGAGCUUCGGUUUGCUAAACCGAGGGUAAGGGUUCAAUCCCCUUCGUUCCG
Molecule: transfer RNA, 68 nt
Filed under: Protostelium mycophagum
Lineage: Eukaryota; Evosea; Variosea; Protosteliida; Protosteliaceae
Description: tRNA-Ser
Rfam family: tRNA
About the family: Transfer RNA (tRNA) molecules are approximately 80 nucleotides in length.
Source: RNAcentral